AUUUAGCCCUGACAGCAGCGACAUCCUUUUGUCCCAAUUCUUUUUGGGGCAAAAGAUACAGUGUAUGGCAGGAGAUAAG
This 79-nucleotide small RNA is filed under the name Flavobacterium sp. TAB 87. Its description in RNAcentral is "Flavo-1 RNA". It matches the Rfam family "Flavo-1 RNA". Lineage: Bacteria; Pseudomonadati; Bacteroidota; Flavobacteriia; Flavobacteriales; Flavobacteriaceae. The record is from Rfam by way of RNAcentral.